This 979-nucleotide ribosomal RNA is filed under the name Pertusaria hymenea. RNAcentral describes it as "eukaryotic LSU rRNA". It matches the Rfam family "Eukaryotic large subunit ribosomal RNA", at positions 133 to 1136 of the family's 3401-position model. The record is from RNAcentral. Lineage: Eukaryota; Fungi; Ascomycota; Lecanoromycetes; Pertusariales; Pertusariaceae.
UGGGUCCGAGUUGUAAUUUGUAGAGGGCACUUCGGGCGCGCGACCGGCCUAAGUUCCUUGGAACAGGGCGUCAUAGAGGGUGAGAAUCCCGUACGUGGCCGGCCGUCACCCCGUGUGAAGUCCCUUCGACGAGUCGAGUUGUUUGGGAAUGCAGCUCAAAAUGGGUGGUAAAUUCCAUCUAAAGCUAAAUACCGGCCAGAGACCGAUAGCGCACAAGUAGAGUGAUCGAAAGAUGAAAAGCACUUUGAAAAGAGAGUCAAACAGUAUGUGAAAUUGUUGAAAGGGAAGCGCUGGCAACCAGACGUGCCCGCGGGCGAUCACCCGGCCUUCGGGUCGGCGCACUCGCCCGCGAUCAGGCCAGCAUCGGUUUCGGCGGCCGGACAAAGGCGCGCGGGAACGUAGCUUCCUUCGGGGAGUAUUAUAGCCCGUGCCGCAAUGCGGCCAGCCGGGACCGAGGACCGCGCUAAUGCUAGGAUGCUGGCGUAAUGGUUGUCAGCGACCCGUCUUGAAACACGGACCAAGGAGUCUAACAUCUAUGCGAGUGUUUGGGCGUAAAACCCAUGCGCGGAAUGAAAGUGAACGGAGGUGGGAGCCUUGGAUCUCCAUCGACCGAUCCUGAUGUCUUNGGAUGGAUUUGAGUAGGAGCAUACYUGUUGGGACCCGAAAGAUGGUGAACUAUACGUGAAUAGGGUGAAGCCAGAGGAAACUCUGGUGGAGGCUCGCAGCGGUUCUGACGUGCAAAUCGAUCGUCAAAUUUGCGUAUAGGGGCGAAAGACUAAUCGAACCAUCUAGUAGCUGGUUCUUGCCGAAGUUUCCCUCAGGAUAGCAGUAACGUUUUCAGUUUUAUGAGGUAAAGCGAAUGAUUAGAGCCCUUGGGGUUGAAACAACCUUAACCUAUUCUCAAACUUUAAAUAUGUAAGAAGUCCUUGUUACUUUGUUGAACGUGGACAUUUGAAUGUACCGUUACUAGGGGCCUUUU